GAAGAAUGGAAGGACAGGACACCAGCAGGAGGCGGUAUAAAAGGAUAAAAGAGCAUUGGCAGACGACCUCCUGGCCCUGGGGGUGGAGCGGUCAUGUCUCCGGACCUGCUUCUUGGGUCCCGGAGGGUCCGAAGAAAUGACUCACCUCUACCACCUCCACCCACCAGUGCAUCUCAGCCAGACACGCAAUUCGCUCCCCCACGCAAAGCAGUAACAGGGGGGCGAGCUUUCCAAAGGUGCUGCCCCAGCUCAGCCUCCCUCCUUGGCACAGAGCUGGCCUGCGAGACCCCCGGUAAAUGACUGUUAGUGGACGAAUUCAUGAACGAACGUAAAACCCCAUCUCUAAGGCAGUCCCGAUUCUCCCCCGCGGCCAGCAUCCAUCUGCGAGGAAUCGGGCGUGUAUGUCUGAGCAGGGACCCCGGCUGGGAGCUGGGAGGGACUUUCUGGCCAGUGUGCAAGACCAGGGAGCAUGCGUCUGGCAGGGCCUCUCAACCACGGCUGGUGGCGGGGGCAGGGACUGGCCAGAAUCAUGGUGUAAAAUUUAAAACACAACCUUGACCCCAAGGAGUAAAGGAGGGGCUGAGACAGCGGGACCCUCCCUUUGGGGCAGACGGCCCAGGGCCACUCCCAUAGAGGGAUCGAGCAGCGUCUAGAGAGUCCCAUGGGGUCGUCCCCACCCCACCCCAAUACAUCUGGGACCACCCAGGGAGCCAAGGAUGGCUUCUACAAUCCAGAAAUUCCUCAGUUCCCAGACCACUGGGGACCAUCGCCGUCUGCCUCUCCCUCCUCCCAGAGCGAGGACCUCUCUGCUGGCCUCACGGGGCCUUUCCUCGUUGGCAUCUGCUGGGGUGGCCCCUGGUUUUCCAGCCAUGGGGCUUCCAGGGUCUCAGAGGCUCCGCACAGAAACCCCACCCCAAUUUCCCAGACCGUGCAGUGGUCUUCUCGAGACCCUUGAGCGGGGAGGACACCAUGAGUUUUGGGCUUUGCAGAGCCAUGUUUGAAAAGCCACCACUUAGAGCUAAGCGACCUUGGAGAAGUCAGACUCCCAGGACUGAGGUGUCCUGUCUAUUCAGAGGAGGAGAUGACACCUGCUCCCCUCACCCCCACGCUGACACACCCACCGCAGGGAAGGGAGACAGGCUGGCAGCACCUGACACAGUGCUCCCCUGUCCCGGCCCCCAGAGCCCCCACCCCACCUGCUCUGUGGCCUGCUGAGCCCACCUUCUCAGCCCCCAACUAGGACCUGGGGCCUGACAAAGGAUUUCUGGGCUCCUGCUUAGAGGUACAAGUGAAGCCAGACUGAGAGCCCCUGACAAACACAUGAACCAAUGCCACCCUGACCCCAGGGGCUGGCCCCCCGGCCUCACCUGUCCCCAAGCCGUGAUCCUGACACGCGAUCCUGGACACAGCGACGCCAGGGCGCAGCACAGCGUCAGGGCAACAGCAGCCCCUGAAGAGAACCCAGCCCAGCGCCACCGACCCCAGGAGCAAAGUAAUGCCUGGAAGAAUGGCACUGAACACUCAACAGACCCUCCAGGCUCUCAGUUCCACGGAAUCAUGCCAGCUUCCUUGUGAUUUUAUCGGAAAGGUGGGCAGUUUGGCUCCACCGCGACCCACAGGGCAACAUCUUCUGGGUAUCGAUUCUGCUGCAGUGAAAAGGAAGCCCUUCCUUUGGAAAACAGUAAGAAAGAGGACAGGAGUCCAGGCGUUCCGGACUGUUAUUCCUAUUGGCUGCUGUCAACCAGGACAGUGGCCUCGGAGUGACCAGCCCAGAGGAAGAAGAGGCUGCGGCAGGCCCUGCCCUCCGGGGGUUGAUGUCAGGGCCCAAAGGAGAGUGGGCACCUACUAGUAGCCCCUGCGCUCUGCAGCAGCGUCUCACGGCUCAUCACCUGUUUUAUACAGAGGUGAGCACGCGCUCUUCCCACCCGCCCGGUUCUUCCCGCCCCACAACGGCGUCACCUACCUACGCUGACCCUAUAAGUGGUUUUGAAAUCAGUGAGUCUGUUUCUGGCUUUUUGGGUUUUUUUUUUUUUUUUUUUUUUUUUGGUCUUAUGUCUCUUUAGGGCCAUACCUGUGACAUAUGGAGGUUCCCAGGCUAGGGAUCGAAUCAGAGCUGAAGCCGUCGGCCUAUACCACAGCCACAGCAACCCAGGAGCCAAGCCAUGUCUGCGACCUACACCACAGCUCAUGGCAACAUGGGGUCCUUAACCCACUGAGCAAGGCCAGGGAUCGAACCCGCAACCUCAUGGCUCCUAGUCGGAUUCGUUUCCGCUGUACCACGACGGGAAUUCCGUUUUGUUUUUUAUUUAUUUAUUUAUUUAUUUAUUUUAUUUUUAGGGCCACAUCCGUUGCAUAUGGAAGUUCCCGGGUUAGGGGUCAAAUCACAGCUACAGCUGCCGGCCUACCCCACAGCCACAGCAGUGCCAAAUCCAGCUGCAUCUAUGACCUAUGGCGCAGUUCACAGCAACACCGGAUCCUUAACCCACUGAGCAAGGCCAGGGAUCGAACCUUCCUCCUCGUGGAUGCGAGUCAGGUUCUUAACCCAAUGAGCCACAAUGGGAAGUCCCUGUUUUUAAACACGUUCUCUCCAUUUUUAUUAGAUUUCACAUAUAAGUGCUAUCAUAUGACACCUGUCUCUCCCUGACUUACUCCACAUAAUAAUAAUAAUGUCUAACUCCGCCCAUGUUGCUGCAGAUGGCAUUAUUUCAUAUUUAUAUGUGCGACUGCUUCACUUCACUGUACACCUGACACUGAUACAACAUUGUAAAUCAACUACUCCAAUAAAGUGAAU
This 2791-nucleotide long non-coding RNA is filed under the name Sus scrofa (pig). Its description in RNAcentral is "lncRNA (ENSSSCG00040003253.1)". The record is from RNAcentral. Lineage: Eukaryota; Metazoa; Chordata; Mammalia; Artiodactyla; Suidae.